This 951-nucleotide ribosomal RNA is filed under the name uncultured bacterium. RNAcentral's name for it is "bacterial SSU rRNA". It matches the Rfam family "Bacterial small subunit ribosomal RNA", at positions 8 to 959 of the family's 1533-position model. The record is from RNAcentral.
AGAGUUUGAUCCUGGCUCAGAACGAACGCUGGCGGCGUGCUUAACACAUGCAAGUCGCGUGCGCAGUUCCCGUAGCAAUACGGGGAUGGGCGCACGGCGCACGGGUGCGUAACACGUGGGCAAUCUGCCCUCCGAUGGGGAAUAACCCCGCGAAAGCGGGGCUAAUUCCGCAUAACAUUCCGGGGACUUCGGUUCCUGGAUUCAAAGCAGUGAUGCGUCGGAGGAGGAGCCCGCGCCCGAUUAGCUAGUUGGUGAGGUAACGGCUCACCAAGGCAAUGAUCGGUAGCUGGUCUGAGAGGAUGGCCAGCCACACUGGAACUGAGACACGGCCCAGACUCCUACGGGAGGCAGCAGUGGGGAAUCUUGCGCAAUGGGCGAAAGCCUGACGCAGCGACGCCGCGUGGGGGAUGAAGCUUCUCGGAGUGUAAACCCCUUUCGACUGGGACGAAUGCCCGCAAGGGAGUGACGGUACCAGUAGAAGAAGCCCCGGCUAACUACGUGCCAGCAGCCGCGGUAAGACGUAGGGGGCCAGCGUUGUUCGGAAUUACUGGGUGUAAAGGGUUCGUAGGCGGUGUGGCAAGUUGGGAGUGAAAUCUCUGGGCUUAACCCAGAGGCUGCUUCCAAAACUGCUGUGCUUGAGUGUGGGAGAGGCGCGUGGAAUUGCAGGUGUAGCGGUGAAAUGCGUAGAUAUCUGCAGGAACACCCGUGGCGAAAGCGGCGCGCUGGACCACAACUGACGCUGAGGAACGAAAGCUAGGGGAGCAAACAGGAUUAGAUACCCUGUAGUCCUAGCCCUAAACGAUCAGGACUUGGGGUGCCGCCCGUUCGGGCGUCGUCCCGGAGCUAACGCGUUAAGUCCUGCACCUGGGGAGUACGGUCGCAAGACUGAAACUCAAAGGAAUUGACGGGGGCCCGCACAAGCGGUGGAACAUGUGGUUCAAUUCGACGCUA